GUCACAUCUUAAAAUAGAGCUGACAACAAAAAUAACGAGAUAUAAAAGUAAUGGAAUCCAAACUAUUACUAGUUUUUAUACCUGUUUCAAUAGUUCUUGAAUUCAAUAGCACGCUUGACUCGAUCAAUCAGUUCCCUGUAUCUCUUCAGGUCUUUCAGACAUGUUGCGGAAUCGACGUUGAAAAAAACACAAAAAUUUGGAUGACCAUUUCCUUUGUCAUAAAAAAACCUUGUGUUCCAAUGAUCAACUUAAAAAAAAAUCUUAAAAUGCCAAAUAUUAUUGAUUUUAUAAAUCGAUUGAGCUACAAGACUUCCGAAGAUACGAUACGGGACAUGAUCAAACUGUUAUCUGACGCAACAGCUGACUAUAAUCUUUCUUUCAAUGCAGAGCUAUCAAUAUCGUCUGUUUUAGAAAAGCAGAUCCAAGAAAUUGUAUCAAAGCAUGGCGCCAACAUUAAUGUAGCUAUUGAAAUCAAUGGUCGGAUGCAUACUCUGCUGUCUGUUGUGUUAAAUAACUACUUCCCUGCUUACCCUGACUCACAGAAACUCGCGGAAUGGCUCCUGGAUCACGGGGCAUCUAUAGAGCAUACACAUCCAUCUGCUUUGCACAAGGCAAUUCUAAUGAGAUGUUGGAGUUUAGUUGUGAAACUCUACAUUUUAGGUCUUCAACCCCUGGACAUACAAGUUCACUUGUUUGGAGCGUUAUCACCUUUCAAGACCGCUCUAUUGAUGAAACAAGACAAACUUGCCCAGCUGUUUGUAACAAGCAACUUUUUAACUCCAACGGACAUUUCUGAUUGUAGGUCUAACACGUUAGGAGAACUACUUCGUCGUUAUCAUGUUCAAGUAGACGUGAGCAGUUGGAAAGAUAUUCAAUUAUCUCCUAAUUCUCUCUUGCAUAUCACAAAACAAUCCAUUUUAGCCAAUAUUCGCUUACAUAAUAGUGAACUACAUAGACUGCCUAAACCUAUCAGGGAUGAGUUAGAAUGGGACUCACAAGAUAAAUAUUUAAGUUACUUUCAGCAGACAGAAGAAGAUUUUACACUGGCAGACAUUAUUAUCGUAAAACUAUACAAAAGUGUUCCAUACAAGAUAUGGCGUAACCCAAUAUUGUAAACAUUAGCAAUUUGACAAAUUCUAAUUAGAGACUGGUUUAUCUAGUACAUUGAAACUGUUUUGUGCUGCGUUGGAAGAUUCCUGGAUGACCUUUAUUUUGUACAUUCUACUUUUUAAGAUGUCAUACACAACAGGAGUAGAAAGGGUGAAAUUGCAACAGCCCCUAGGAUUACAGAAGCCCAACCUGUGACCGCAGCUGUGUAUCAAAGAUUGGCCUCUUCAGUCACACAAGAAGUUGCAAAAGGGAAUAGUUUGUCUCUCGAGACGUAAAAUGCCACAGCUCUAUUCUUUUUAUAUUUUACCUUUUUGUUGGCUAUACGCUGUACAUUCUACUUUGUAAGAUAACUACUUUGUAAAUUCUACAUUGUAAGAUAACUAUACUUCGACAUCAUGAUUUGAGAUAAUAUUUAAUAUUUAAUGUAAAAACAAAUUUUGGUCACAUAUUUGGGGAUUUUCAAAUUUGGACCCUACUCCCCCCCCCCCCACUACGCCGUUGAUCAAAUGUAUGCUAUGUGUUAAAAUCAAUGUCUUAUUCUAGCCUAUUUAAUUUGCUUAAUUUGUUCAGUUAAUCGGUGUGUGAUAAUCUAAAGAUAACAAAAGAUUUAUAACAAAUAUACAUGCUUUGAUUCUAGUUUAACUAAACCAUAGACCUAAAGCACGUAAUGUGUCUAUUUAUAUAGUUUUAAGAUGCAGACAAAACAGGUUGAAAUGAGCAUUAUAAUUGCUAGAAAAGCGAAACGUUAAUGAAGAAAUUAACGAAUGAAGAUACGAAAUGUAAAGCUGUGUUCUGUAAGAACUCUUAAAAUUUUAGCCUGUAGUGUUUGCUCGCUGUGUUUCUCGACUGCUAAGUCUCAGCGUCACCAACUCAAUACCAAGUUUAUCAGCAAAUGGUUUCGGCUUAUUCAGGGUAUCAAGCCUGAAGUUUUCCUCGGUAUGGUCAAGUUAACUUUUUAUUAUGUCAAUGAGUCUACUGAUGUACUGUUAAGCAGCCACUAUGAUAAUUUGUAUGGGUGCCCAUGAAUAGGACUUAUAUACUGUAUCUCUACACUUAGUAUAGAACAGUGUUUCAUAGGUUUGAAAGUCUACAUUUAUCAAUUUAUUUUAUAUUAGGAAUAAAACAAGAGAACACUCUA
RNA transcript from Biomphalaria glabrata, 2248 nucleotides. RefSeq lists it as uncharacterized. The transcript is spliced from 3 exons. The record is from RefSeq and is a predicted model, not a curated record. NCBI's taxonomy places the organism in Eukaryota, Metazoa, Mollusca, Gastropoda, Planorbidae.